This 401-nucleotide ribosomal RNA is filed under the name uncultured bacterium. RNAcentral's name for it is "bacterial SSU rRNA". It matches the Rfam family "Bacterial small subunit ribosomal RNA", at positions 355 to 774 of the family's 1533-position model. The record is from RNAcentral.
UCGGGAAUUUUGGGCAAUGGGCGAAAGCCUGACCCAGCAACGCCGCGUGAGGGAUGAAGUAUUUCGGUACGUAACCUCGAAAGAAUGGGAAGAAUAAAUGACGGUACCAUUUAUAAGCUCCGGCUAACUACGUGCCAGCAGCCGCGGUAAUACGUAGGGAGCAAGCGUUGUUCGGAUUUACUGGGCGUAAAGGGCGCGUAGGCGGCGCGGUAAGUCACUUGUGAAAUCUCUGAGCUUAACUCAGAACGGCCAAGUGAUACUGCUGUGCUAGAGUGCGGAAGAGGCAAACGGAAUUCUUGGUGUAGCGGUGAAAUGCGUAGAUAUCAAGAGGAACACCUGAGGCGAAGGCGGGUUGCUGGGCCGACACUGACGCUGAUGCGCGAAAGCCAGGGGAGCAAACG